GAUGAACGCUGGCUACAGGCUUAACACAUGCAAGUCGUGGGGAAACGGCAUUAUGUGCUUGCACAUUCUGGACGUCGACCGGCGCACGGGUGAGUAUCGCGUAUCCAACCUGCCCCUUACUUGGGGAUACCCCGUCGAAAGACGGCCUAAUACCCGAUGUGUUUCAUUGACGGCAUCCGAUAUGAAACAAAGGUUUUUCCGGUAAGGGAUGGGGAUGCGUCUGAUUAGCUAGUUGGCGGGGCAACGGCCCACCAAGGCGACGAUCAGUAGGGGUUCUGAGAGGAAGGUCCCCCACAUUGGAACUGAGACACGGUCCAAACUCCUACGGGAGGCAGCAGUGAGGAAUAUUGGUCAAUGGACGCAAGUCUGAACCAGCCAAGUAGCGUGCAGGAUGACGGCCCUAUGGGUUGUAAACUGCUUUUAUGUGGGAAUAAAGUGGCGCACGUGUGCGCCAUUGCAUGUACCUCAUGAAUAAGGACCGGCUAAUUCCGUGCCAGCAGCCGCGGUAAUACGGAAGGUCCGGGCGUUAUCCGGAUUUAUUGGGUUUAAGGGAGUGUAGGCGGUCUGUUAAGCGUGUUGUGAAAUUUAGGUGCUCAACAUUUAACUUGCAGCGCGAACUGUCAGACUUGAGUACACGCAGCGCAGGCGGAAUUCAUGGUGUAGCGGUGAAAUGCUUAGAUAUCAUGAGGAACUCCGAUCGCGAAGGCAGCCUGCGGGAGUGUUACUGACGCUUAAGCUCGAAGGUGCGGGUAUCGAACAGG
This 761-nucleotide ribosomal RNA is filed under the name Prevotella nigrescens. RNAcentral describes it as "bacterial SSU rRNA". It matches the Rfam family "Bacterial small subunit ribosomal RNA", at positions 28 to 776 of the family's 1533-position model. Lineage: Bacteria; Pseudomonadati; Bacteroidota; Bacteroidia; Bacteroidales; Prevotellaceae. The record is from RNAcentral.